UACGGAGGGUGCGAGCGUUGUCCGGAAUCACUGGGCGUAAAGGGCGCGUAGGCGGCGCGAGCAGUCGAUCGUGAAAGUCCGGAGCUCAACUCCGGAUCGGCGGUCGAUACUCUCGUGCUUGAGCACUGUAGAGGCAGAUGGAAUUCCGGGUGUAGCGGUGGAAUGCGUAGAGAUCCGGAAGAACACCGGUGGCGAAGGCGGCUCACUGGUCCAUUACUGACGCUGAGGUGCGAAAGCGUGGGGAGCAAACAGG
This 253-nucleotide ribosomal RNA is filed under the name uncultured bacterium. Its description in RNAcentral is "partial 16S ribosomal RNA". It matches the Rfam family "Bacterial small subunit ribosomal RNA", at positions 524 to 776 of the family's 1533-position model. The record is from RNAcentral.